UACGGAGGGGGCUAGCGUUGUUCGGAAUUACUGGGCGUAAAGCGCACGUAGGCGGCGAUUUAAGUCAGAGGUGAAAGCCCGGGGCUCAACCCCGGAAUAGCCUUUGAGACUGGAUUGCUAGAAUCUUGGAGAGGCGAGUGGAAUUCCGAGUGUAGAGGUGAAAUUCGUAGAUAUUCGGAAGAACACCAGUGGCGAAGGCGGCUCGCUGGACAAGUAUUGACGCUGAGGUGGCGAAAGCGUGGGAGCAAACAGG
RNAcentral lists this ribosomal RNA (253 nucleotides) under uncultured bacterium. RNAcentral describes it as "partial 16S ribosomal RNA". It matches the Rfam family "Bacterial small subunit ribosomal RNA", at positions 524 to 776 of the family's 1533-position model. The record is from RNAcentral.